UGAGGAAUAUUGGUCAAUGGACGCAAGUCUGAACCAGCCAAGUAGCGUGCAGGAUGACGGCCCUAUGGGUUGUAAACUGCUUUUAUAUGGGGAUAAAGUGGGGAACGUGUUCCCUUUUGCAGGUACCAUAUGAAUAAGGACCGGCUAAUUCCGUGCCAGCAGCCGCGGUAAUACGGAAGGUUCGGGCGUUAUCCGGAUUCAUUGGGUUUAAAGGGAGCGUAGGCCGUUUGGUAAGCGUGUUGUGAAAUGUAGGAGCUCAACUUCUAGAUUGCAGCGCGAACUGUCAGACUGGAGUGCGCACAACGUAGGCGGAAUUCAUGGUGUAGCGGUGAAAUGCUUAGAUAUCAUGAAGAACUCCGAUUGCGAAGGCAGCUUACGGGAGCGCAACUGACGCUGAAGCUCGAAGGUGCGGGUAUCGAACAGG
RNAcentral lists this ribosomal RNA (424 nucleotides) under Verrucomicrobiota bacterium. RNAcentral's name for it is "Verrucomicrobia bacterium partial 16S ribosomal RNA". It matches the Rfam family "Bacterial small subunit ribosomal RNA", at positions 355 to 776 of the family's 1533-position model. The record is from RNAcentral. Lineage: Bacteria; Pseudomonadati; Verrucomicrobiota.